ACUCCUACGGGAGGCAGCAGUGGGGAAUAUUGCACAAUGGGGGAAACCCUGAUGCAGCCAUGCCGCGUGUGUGAAGAAGGCCUUCGGUUGUAAAGCACUUUCAGUAGGGAGGAAGGUAGUGUAGUUAACACCUGCAUUAUUUGACGUUACCUACAGAAGAAGCACCGGCUAACUCCGUGCCAGCAGCCGCGGUAAUACGGAGGGGUGCGAGCGUUAAUCGGAAUUACUGGGCGUAAAGCGCAUGCAGGCGGCCUGUUAAGUCAGAUGUGAAAGCCCGGGGGCUUAACCUCGGAAUUGACAUUUGAAACUGGCAGGCUAGAGUCUUGUAGAGGGGGUAGAAUUUCAGGUGUAGCGGUGAAAUGCGUAGAGAUCUGAAGG
Molecule: ribosomal RNA, 378 nt
Filed under: uncultured bacterium
Lineage: Bacteria
Description: bacterial SSU rRNA
Rfam family: Bacterial small subunit ribosomal RNA
Source: RNAcentral